This 406-nucleotide ribosomal RNA is filed under the name uncultured bacterium. RNAcentral describes it as "partial 16S ribosomal RNA". It matches the Rfam family "Bacterial small subunit ribosomal RNA", at positions 30 to 526 of the family's 1533-position model. The record is from RNAcentral.
AUUGAACGCUGGCGGCAGGCUUAACACAUGCAAGUCGAGCGAGUGGCGGACGGGUGAGUAAUGUCUGGGAAACUGCCUGAUGGAGGGGGAUAACUACUGGAAACGGUAGCUAAUACCGCAUACCAUCAGAUGUGCCCAGAUGGGAUUAGGUAGUUGGUGGGGUAAAGGCUCACCAAGGCGACGAUCCCUAGCUGGUCUGAGAGGAUGACCAGCCACACUGGGACUGAGACACGGCCCAGACUCCUACGGUAGGCAGCAGUGGGGAAUAUUGCGCAAUGGGCGCAAGCCUGACGCAGCCAUGCCGCGUGAGUGAAGAAGGCCUUCGGGUUGUAAAGCACUUUCAGCGAGGAGGCGUUACUCGCAGAAGAAGCACCGGCUAACUCCGUGCCAGCAGCCGCGGUAAUUC